RNAcentral lists this ribosomal RNA (532 nucleotides) under uncultured bacterium. RNAcentral's name for it is "bacterial SSU rRNA". It matches the Rfam family "Bacterial small subunit ribosomal RNA", at positions 514 to 1050 of the family's 1533-position model. The record is from RNAcentral.
GCGGCGGUAAUACGGAGGGGGUUAGCGUUGUUCGGAAUUACUGGGCGUAAAGCGCACGUAGGCGGAUCAGAAAGUAUGAGGUGAAAUCCCGGGGCUCAACCCCGGAACUGCCUUGUAAACUCCUGGUCUUGAGUUCGAGAGAGGUGAGUGGAAUUCCGAGUGUAGAGGUGAAAUUCGUAGAUAUUCGGAGGAACACCAGUGGCGAAGGCAGAUUACUAAUAAUCAACUGACACUGAUGGACGAAAGCGUGGGUAGCGAACAGGAUUAGAUACCCUGGUAGUCCACGCCGUAAACGAUGGUUACUAGCUGUUUGGACCUUGUGUCUGAGUGGCUAAGCGAAAGUGAUAAGUAACCCACCUGGGGAGUACGUUCGCAAGAAUGAAACUCAAAGGAAUUGACGGGGGCCCGCACAAGCGGUGGAGCAUGUGGUUUAAUUCGAUGAUACGCGAGGAACCUUACCAGGGCUUAAAUGUAAGUUGCAUUAGUUAGAGAUAGCUAUUUCUUCGGACCACUUACAAGGUGCUGCAUGGUU